This 114-nucleotide ribosomal RNA is filed under the name Otolemur garnettii (small-eared galago). The record is from RNAcentral. Lineage: Eukaryota; Metazoa; Chordata; Mammalia; Primates; Galagidae.
GUCUAUUGCUAUAGCACCCUGAAUGUGCCCUAUCUCACCUGAUCUCAGAAGCUAAGCAGGGUCAGGCCUGGUUAGUACUUGGAUGGGAGAACAAAAUCCAAAGUGCCCUGAAAU